This 495-nucleotide ribosomal RNA is filed under the name uncultured bacterium. RNAcentral's name for it is "partial 16S ribosomal RNA". It matches the Rfam family "Bacterial small subunit ribosomal RNA", at positions 28 to 508 of the family's 1533-position model. The record is from RNAcentral.
GACGAACGCUGGCGGCGUGCCUAAUACAUGCAAGUAGAACGCUGAAGGAGGAGCUUGCUUCUCUGGAUGAGUUGCGAACGGGUGAGUAACGCGUAGGUAACCUGCCUGGUAGCGGGGGAUAACUAUUGGAAACGAUAGCUAAUACCGCAUAAUAGUAGAUGUUGCAUGACAUUUGCUUAAAAGGUGCAAUUGCAUCACUACCAGAUGGACCUGCGUUGUAUUAGCUAGUUGGUGAGGUAACGGCUCACCAAGGCAACGAUACAUAGCCGACCUGAGAGGGUGACGGGACACAGUGGGAGUGAGACAGGGCCCAGACUCCGGCGGGAGGCGGAAGUAGGGAUUUUUGGGAAAGGGAGGGAAGUCGAACCGAGAAACGCGGGGUGAGUAAAGAGGUUUUGCGGUGGAAAAAGCUUGGUUGAAAGAAAAAAACGAGGGGGGGGGUGAAAAGUCCACGCGGGGGGGUUAUUUAACAAGAAGGGGAGGGCAACUUCGGUC